CCUACGGGAGGCAGCAGUGGGGAAUAUUGGACAAUGGGGGGAACCCUGAUCCAGCGACGCCGCGUGAGUGAAGAAGUAUUUCUGUAUGUAAAGCUCUAUCAGCAGGGAAGAAAGACAUGACGGUACCUGACUACGAAGCCCCGGCUAACUACGUGCCCUCAGCCGCGGUCAUACGUAGGAUCCGAGCAUUAUCCGGAGUGACUGGGUGUAAAGAGUUGCGUAGGUGGCAUAAUAAGUAGCUAGUGAAAUCUGGUGGCUCAACCAUUCAGACUAUUAGCUAAACUGGUAGGCUCGAGACCGUUAGAGGUAACUGGAAUGUGUAGUGUAGGAGUGAAAUCCGUAGAUAUUAGAAGGAACACCGAUAGCGUAGGCAGGUUACUGGGACGGAUCUGACACUAAGGCACGAAAGCGUAGGGAGCGAACGGGAUUAGAUACCCUGGUAGUC
RNAcentral lists this ribosomal RNA (445 nucleotides) under uncultured bacterium. RNAcentral describes it as "partial 16S ribosomal RNA". It matches the Rfam family "Bacterial small subunit ribosomal RNA", at positions 338 to 795 of the family's 1533-position model. The record is from RNAcentral.